RNAcentral lists this ribosomal RNA (159 nucleotides) under Acacia baileyana. Its description in RNAcentral is "5.8S ribosomal RNA". It matches the Rfam family "5.8S ribosomal RNA". Rfam says of the family: 5.8S ribosomal RNA (5.8S rRNA) is a component of the large subunit of the eukaryotic ribosome. The record is from RNAcentral. Lineage: Eukaryota; Viridiplantae; Streptophyta; Magnoliopsida; Fabales; Fabaceae.
CGACUCUCGGCAACGGAUAUCUCGGCUCUCGCAUCGAUGAAGAACGUAGCGAAAUGCGAUACUUGGUGUGAAUUGCAGAAUCCCGUGAACCAUCGAGUCUUUGAACGCAAGUUGCKCCSGAASCCGUCAGGCYGAGGGCACGCCUGCCUGGGCGUYWYU